RNAcentral lists this long non-coding RNA (4158 nucleotides) under Daphnia pulicaria. RNAcentral's name for it is "uncharacterized LOC124314581". The record is from RNAcentral. Lineage: Eukaryota; Metazoa; Arthropoda; Branchiopoda; Diplostraca; Daphniidae.
GUCAGCACACACGACAAAAAUGAAAUCCGUUAUUUAGAUUAUUUUCGGCACAGGCGACAGAUCGUCUCCAAGUCCAUAACGGCCUAGUUUCACAGUCGUUAAAAAAAUUAUUCCUUUGGAAUACUGUACAGUGUACACGUAUGGUGUUCCAGAUUUGACACACAUGUUUCCCCUUUUGACCUAAAUGGUGAUUUAGUGAACAGGGAAUUAUUUUUUGAAAAAGAAUAGUUACCGCGACGGAAAUCUUCAUAUUCCUGGAAAUGUUUGGAACUUGCAGGCGAAAUAGGAUCAAAUGGAGUACACUGCACACUCGUUUUGAGAAUGAUACUGGAUUCACGGUGCAGGCAUAUUUAUACAACUAUCACCCGAUAACUCCGCCCACACCUUACUGGACCAUCCUUUGGUUUUCACUCUGUAUACGUCACGGCAGCCAAAGGUGUUUUCUUUCUCCUGUUCUUCUCCUUCUUAUUCUUUUCUUCCUCCUUUUUCCAUCUGGUUACUUGGCGAUGGGCUGGUGGUCGGGGAUCUCUUGUGGACAGCCGGCACACGAAAGAAAAGACCAGAGGGGAAAAUACAAUAAAAAGAUCAGCUGCAAGAAUGAGUGUAAUCACUUCGUCGACGAAGAGAAAGUACCACGCGCCGUAAAUAGGAUGGACACCAAGCGGUAUGUAACGCCUUUACAAUCCAACUAAGUAUAUUUGUUAAUUUAAAAAACAAAAAACUCAAAGUGAUGCCCUAUAAACUGCGGAGAAAACUAUGAAAACAUUUUACGAUCGUUGACAAGGGUUUUCCUAGGGGGGUUCUUCCCUGUUUACCCACAAUGACUACCGAACAAAAGAAUUGAAAACUGCUUACAUUUGCAUCGUUUGUUGGUAUUGCGCGCGUGAGAGAUUAUGAAAUUGGCUUAUAUCGAAAAACGAUUUCUGUUACAGAAAUUGUUAGCUAAUUUCAGUUGGGAAAACACUCAAAUCUUUCCUGACUUUCUCUUUGCUACUCCGCAAAAUAGCUUGUAAUAUUGGAUGGUGAUUUAACAUCGGGGUAGCAGCUGCUACCGCUAUGCUACUCAAGUUCAGCGGCUUAUUUUUCGGGGUAGUUCAUUAGACUUCCUUCUUUCUUCCUCAUAAUUGUUUUUUUUUUCUUCUUUCUCUCCCGACGGCUCACCAAAUAGCUUAUAACAUUGCUUUACCCCAAAUCAAAUGUGUGUUACCAUAUGACCAAAAAUGAGCGAUCGAGGCUAUACAUCUGGCAGCCACUUUUUGGAGACUCUUAGCUUGGGGCGAGAAAAUCAACUCUAGUUAUAAUAAGAAAUGGACUUUUACUUUCCCAGAAUUUUUCAGCAUUUUACACCAAAUAAAAGAUAGCGUGGAAAGGAAAGCUGAAAAGGCAAACAGGUAUCAUCUAGUAGUUCAUCAUAAGCCGUUGGCUUAUCCUUUGGGCCGGACAAGUUAACAUGGUACUUAUUGCCCAAUGGAGCAACUAAAUGAAAUUGCUUGCGUACUUAAAAAUGUACCCAACUUUCACUAGAAGGACAAUACCACGUCAUGGCGAGACAGUCUCGAAAGCUGACAGGAGGCCAUCUUUUACCGUUGGAAGAUUUUAGGAAACCCAAAUUGUUCCAGCAGCAAUUGGCCGUUGCGCCGUUAUGUGCAGUACGUGUUGGUUUGGCCGAAGAAAAGCGGGACGGGCUCUGGGGCUAUAUACCAUCCAGGCGUCUUAUAUUGGAGAAAGUCGUUUUUCUUCUCUUUCUGUCGUUUCUUUUUACAGCAUUUUUGAUUAAUCAUACGCAUGUGUCCCGGGAAGGAGAUCCAAUUAAGGGCGCUUGCGGGAGCGACACGGCCUUGUUUUCCCCAGCACGUCAGCCAUUCUGGCCCAUCGCAUUUCUGCUGGUGCGAUGAGGUCCGAUAGUGAAUCGGUGAUCCUCCAAGGGCUAAGCCAGUGCGACCUUAUUCGCUGUUGGUGCGUGGUGACACCAUUUAGGAGGGCUACAGAAUGCUUCGGAUGUUUUUCCUCCUCCCAGAAUUAAAUGUGAGGAAAACAUUUCCUCCUUUGUUUUUCCAUGGUUUGUGGCUCAUCCGUCUUUCAGCUUUCUUUCUCCGCCACUUUUUAAAAUGUUGAGGAUUCGAUGGGUCAGAGAUGUAGGGCUGCCUACGUCUGACAAAUCAGAGCAUGUCAAGGAUGCGUUCAUUUCACUUCAUUCCAAUCGUCGGAUCAGAAUUUUAUUUGAAGCACGCGAGAAUUUCCAAAGAUGAGUCGUUCAACUGUAACGAAGUGCUCACAGUUUUCUCCAUUUCUGAUGCCUUGGUUGUAAUUUUUGGGAAAGGGAAUUUAUCGCUCUAGUUGAACCAAUGGCAGACUCUUCACGUUCAAAUAAAAUAACAAUCCUUUUUUUUGUUACUUAUAUUUGAUUAUGAUCUAUUAGAGGGCAAUCAUUUCGAGUCGGACAUUCAGUAAGUACUAGUCAUAAAUCAUUUUUAUCUCAUUCACCUCAAUACUUGUAACGGAUGCAGAGACGAAUGUGCAACGCACCAAAGUAAACCCAUUACCUUGCAGUAUAAUUUUAUGUGAUAAUAUACUACAUCCAUCUAAUCGUCGACGCGAAAACCACCUGUCAAACCGGUGAACUACUUAUUGAAGUAUUUGAAUUCGGAACUGACCAUUUGAUGGUUGGCGAGCGUGACGCAACAACGUAUCAAUAGCGCUCAACAAUUCAUUACGGACGCACGCAACCGGUUGAUGCGAUAGCACUAUAUAGCCUAGAUAUAAAUACUAUCUGUCAUUUUGAAAUGUGAAAGACGGGGAAAAAAGCGCAACUCGGAAAUGAGGUCUCAUCAUGUGUCUGCCUAGCUUGCAGCUGUGCUUGUGAUGUCACACACCCUGAAGCAUACACCUUCAGACAGAAUAACAGGUGGACAAAUAGCCGUCCGGCUACUGAUUAACGGUGAAUUUUUACCCAUCCUUUACAUCUUUCUCUGUUGGCAAAUAUCUAGGCCGGUGAGAAUAUUAAUCUUCUUUUCAUAUAUCAGUUUAUUCGAUCCAGUUCGUCCCCCCAAUUUCGCCAGCACAUCCACUCAGCUUUCCAACCACUAAAACUUUUAAUAAUAAUAUCCCAGUUUUUCACCUUUCCGUUGGCAAUUUUUUUUGGCAUUCAUGACAAUAUACAGCAACUUAUUCGUGGUCAAACUAGGGGUUUCCAAAAAAUCCAUCAUUCAACCAAGGCAUUUUAUUUUUCAUUCGCGGUAUUGUAUUUGCAAUCGGUUGGUUUUGCGGGCUCUUUGUAAACACGAAAGAGUAGCGUUCUAUAUCACUACAUUCUAUAGGCUACGAGCAUAAGCAAAACAAAAAAAAAACAGGUGGUCAAGUUUGAGUGAUUCAUGGCCGACUUACCUAGAAAUGGUCGAUCGGCAGAUAAUCGGUUUUGUCCGUUUAGCUGUUUCUUUUUCUUCGAUCUAUUUUCUUGUACCGCCGUUAAAAUCCCAUCAAGACCCUUUGUUGCUUAAAGAUAGUUUUCCUUCAACCGUUAUACAAAUAAUAUCUUGGCGCACUGUGAACGACGCUUAACAUUACAUUACGCAACCGUCUACAUAUUUAGCAGGAGGCGGAAACUUGUUCUGGGCCAUUUUCAUAUUUCUUACCUACAAAAAAAAAAGAUCGUAAAACCUAGAAAAAAUUGACGAUGAGACAAGGUAAAACUGCACAGUUUCAUACAGAGUUGCACAUUAAAAAAGAGUCUCACGAGCCCACCUAGUCUUGUUCCGUCUGAUCAGAUUGUGGAGUACCAGAUUUUAUGUAGAAAAUAUUGUCACAAUUGUUUGUUGCUCUCCUUGUCGUAUUACGCCUGUCGUUUCUCAUUUUCCCUGUAAGAAUAGAAAGGUAAAGAGUCAAACGGAAACGGCUGUUAAUUGAAUACCACAUGUGUCGUGGUAGGAAGUUAUUUUACAUCGAGUUACGGAUUGUUAGAUUAACUCAUUUCCUUAAAUUCACUGACACACAAAAACCUAAAUACUGCUUUGCCUGAUUAUUACUAUGCUGUUUUUGUUCAAAUCUUAAAAGAAUCUGUGUAACAAAAAUAGAUACAAAGACAAUAUGCUUGUAUUGAGCUAGAUUUCACAGUUGAAUUCAUCAGAACAAUUCUGGGGAGAUCAUAAUUUCUUCUAAUAA